AUGGCGACCGGCGUACGGGUGAGUAACGCGUACACAAUCUACCCUUAAGCGGGGCAUAGGCUUGGGAAACUGAGAUUAAUACCCCAUGUGAUUGGUUUUGUGCAUAUAUGACCAAUUAAAGUUCCGGCGCUUAAGGAUGAGUGUGCGUCCCAUUAGCUUGUUGGUGUGGUAACGGCGCACCAAGGCUACGAUGGGUAGGGGGCGUGAGAGCGUGACCCCCCACACGGGUACUGAGACACGGACCCG
Molecule: ribosomal RNA, 246 nt
Filed under: uncultured bacterium
Lineage: Bacteria
Description: partial 16S ribosomal RNA
Rfam family: Bacterial small subunit ribosomal RNA
Source: RNAcentral